RNAcentral lists this ribosomal RNA (497 nucleotides) under uncultured bacterium. RNAcentral's name for it is "partial 16S ribosomal RNA". It matches the Rfam family "Bacterial small subunit ribosomal RNA", at positions 28 to 507 of the family's 1533-position model. The record is from RNAcentral.
GAUGAACGCUGGCGGCGUGCCUAAUACAUGCAAGUCGAGCGAACAGAUAAGGAGCUUGCUCCUUUGACGUUAGCGGCGGACGGGUGAGUUACACGUGGAUAACCUACCUAUAAGACUGGGAUAACUUCGGGAAACCGGAGCUAAUACCGGAUAACUUAUUGAACCGCAUGGUUCAAUAGUGAAAGGCGGCUUUGCUGUCACUUAUAGAUGGAUCCGCGCCGUAUUAGCUAGUUGGUAAGGUAACGGCUUACCAAGGCAACGAUACGUAGCCGACCUGAGAGGGUGAUCGGCCACACUGGAACUGAGACACGGUCCAGACUCCUACGGGAGGCAGCAGUAGGGAAUCUUCCGCAAUGGGCGAAAGCCUGACGGAGCAACGCUGCGUGAGUGAUGAAGGUCUUCGGAUCGUAAAACUCUGUUAUCAGGGAAGAACAAAUGUGUAAGUAACUGUGCACAUCUUGACGGUACCUGAUCAGAAAGCCACGGCUAACUACGUG